RNAcentral lists this transfer RNA (73 nucleotides) under Ipomoea nil (Japanese morning glory). It matches the Rfam family "tRNA". Rfam says of the family: Transfer RNA (tRNA) molecules are approximately 80 nucleotides in length. Their secondary structure includes four short double-helical elements and three loops (D, anti-codon, and T loops). Further hydrogen bonds mediate the characteristic L-shaped molecular structure. tRNAs have two regions of fundamental functional importance: the anti-codon, which is responsible for specific mRNA codon recognition, and the 3' end, to which the tRNAs corresponding amino acid is attached (by aminoacyl-tRNA synthetases). tRNAs cope with the degeneracy of the genetic code in two manners: having more than one tRNA (with a specific anti-codon) for a particular amino acid; and 'wobble' base-pairing, i.e. permitting non-standard base-pairing at the 3rd anti-codon position. The record is from Rfam by way of RNAcentral. Lineage: Eukaryota; Viridiplantae; Streptophyta; Magnoliopsida; Solanales; Convolvulaceae.
UCCGCUGUAGUCUAGUCGGUUAAAAUAUUUGGCUCUUACCCGAAAAACCCAGGUUUGAUUCCCGGCAAUGGAA